AGACGGGGGGGGCGAGCGUUGUUCGGAAUUACUGGGCGUAAAGGGCGCGCAGGCGGCUUGGGAAGUCUUGGGUGAAAGCCCCCAGCUCAACUUGGGAAUGGCCUGAGAAACCACUAGGCUGGAGUGCUGGAGAGGGAAGCGGAAUUCCCGGUGGAGCGGUGAAAUGCGUAGAUAUCGGGAGGAACACCAGAGGCGAAGGCGGCUUCCUGGACAGACACUGACGCUGAGGCGCGAAAGCUAGGGGAGCAAACGGGAUUAGAAACCCCAGUAGUCC
RNAcentral lists this ribosomal RNA (274 nucleotides) under uncultured bacterium. RNAcentral's name for it is "partial 16S ribosomal RNA". It matches the Rfam family "Bacterial small subunit ribosomal RNA", at positions 523 to 796 of the family's 1533-position model. The record is from RNAcentral.